Molecule: RNA transcript, 2965 nt
Organism: Carassius carassius (crucian carp)
Lineage: Eukaryota; Metazoa; Chordata; Actinopteri; Cypriniformes; Cyprinidae
Gene name: chromobox protein homolog 6-like
Exons: 7
Source: RefSeq, a predicted model, not a curated record
CCUCCACGACGCAGGAUCUCUCCAUAGCUUCCGCGGAAGAACCCCGUCUCUGCUGUCCCAUUAAAGAUGGAGCUGUCUGCGGCAGGGGACCGAGUGUUUGCCGCUGAGGCCAUCCUGAAGCGCCGCAUCCGUAAGGGGCGGAUGGAGUACCUAGUGAAAUGGAAAGGAUGGGCAAUAAAGUACAGCACAUGGGAACCUGAGGAGAACAUCCUAGAUGAACGACUCGUUGCAGCAUUUGAACAAAAAGAGCGGGAACAGGAGAUGUAUGGACCUAAAAAGAGAGGCCCGAAACCUAAAACAUUGCUUCUGAAGUCAAGAGCACAGGUUGCAGACACUUCCUCAAGAGUCCCGGAGUUCAAGCACACUCGUCCUCAGCAGCAUUCCAAGCUUCCUCCGCCCUCGGCUGCACCGUCCUACACCCCAACCGCCCCUUCCAACGCUAAACUGCAAUCGGGCACCGCUCAGCCCAAACUGAAGAAAGACAUUCACCGCUGCCAUCGCAUGGCACGUCGGCCCUUGCCCCGUCCAGACCAGACAAUCGGUUCCUCUAGUCCUUUUUCGUCCCGUCCGACAGUCAGUCCUUUCUCAGAAACGGUCCGUAUUCUCAAUCGUAAAGUCAAACCUAGGGAAGUAAAGAAAGGACGGGUCAUUCUGAACCUCAAAGUGGUUGACAAGGCUGGGAACGGCGGAGUUGCUAAUAGUAGAAGGACACACGUGCCCUCCACCCAGCAGUCCCAUUUUGGGAGGCCGAAGAUUCCGUCCCGGAACAGGGUGAUUGGGAAAAACAGGCGGUUUGGAGAGGUGUCCUACCGAGGAAUCCAACCCACCAUUAGAAGUUCUGGGUUUCCUGUUUUCGGAAAACUCUUCGAUUCUCACUCCCUGAGCAAUGCCGAGAACCAGACUCAAAGUGGAGAGAGUCGUAAUAACACAACAAACAAACUCACUUCCUCCCAAAGUUCAAAGGUGGAUGUGUCCAAAGAUCAGAAUCUUGAUGAACUGCCGUCAAACUCAAGCUCUGAAGUUUCAGAUGGCGAGCCACCCUCCCCGCCACAAACCCAAUCCCAGCAUUCCUCAUUGCCGCCCAAGGCCUCCGCAACCAAGGCCCAAGAUCCUGCCCUUCACAAACUGAGCGCUCAACCUGUAGCAUCCAAAAACAGCUCGGGUCCUUCUGCUCUUCCAUCUUCUCCUAUGUUUUCCUCAUCGUCCUCUGCCUCGUCAUCUUCAGAAGACAACGAACACAUCCUGGACCUCUCCGUACCUCAUGAAAUGGACAGGCGAUUGCGGCGACGCCAUCCCUUCUCUAGCCGUCAUCCGCUCAAGGUCCCAGAGGUGCCCGUGUCGGAGGAACCGUCGGAGGAAGAGGAAGAUUUGGACUGGCAUCCUGACAUGACCUCCCGAUGUGCCAAUGUAGUUGUGACGGACAUCACAGCUAACCUCCUCACCGUAACGAUCAAGGAGUUCUGUCAUCCGCCAUCCGCUACUCCUCCUCCCUGCUACCCCAAAAAUAUAUCAGCUCAACACGACACAAAACAGCCAAAGGACCACCCCAACAAAGCAUGAGUGCGGACCCCACGGAAACAGCCUCCUCCAGCCUUCAGAAGGGAUUUUAGGAGUUGCUUGUGAAUAUCUAUUCAUGACAUCGAGAUCAAGCUCUCAGUCCUGCUCUCUGCAGCUUGCACCAACAUUGUUGAUCCUAAAUCCCUGAUAUUUUCAGCAAACACUGCACUGAAUAUCCCUUUAAUCCCACUUAACCAGCUCUCCAAGACGUGUGCAUGGAGAGGGAUUGCGAAUCAAGAUCCCCGUCAGGAGAUUGAACCCCCCCCCCCGUCAGAGUCCAGGGCAUCAGUCUGUUUGUCCCGCUGAAUCCUGACUCUUCUGCAGACAGUUUAACUCAAACCUCCAUGAUGAGGAUCUUUUAAGGACACACUCUCCCACUGACCUGCAUAAAAGGGAUUUUUAUUGUAAUGGAGUUGUUUGUUCAGCCAUAUUGUUUAUUUAGCCAUAUUAUUAUUAUUCUUUCAAAUGGCACAUUGGAGGAAUUGGAAGUCCCUCAGUACUUAGAAUGCAUGUUUUCAUGUUUGUGUUAUUUAAAAAGUGUUAAUGCACUCGUGCCUUUGUGCAAAAGAAGGGUUUUUGAAUAUGUAAAUAUUUGGAAACAUCAUACAUAGUUCUUAUUUUGGUGUGAUUCAUUUGAGUGAAGUUUGAAUAUGUGGCAUUCAUUUCUUAGGAUGUGCGUGCAGCUCCGGUUUCAUGUACGUCAGAAUGGCAUGACAUAACUUUCCCAUGGCUUUUAUAUACAAAGUAUUGUGUUAAACUUUUUAUUAUGUUGCCUUGACAAAGCCAAUGUAAUGUACUAUACUGCACACACCUAUGUUAACUCAUGCUAAAGCAUUCAAACUACAUCCAGCAGGCCCAUCACAUGUCAGCCGAGACUUAUAAAGCACACAGAAUAUGCGCAGAUCAUUAAUGCCCCAAAUGUUUGAGAAUGAGCCCUUAGUUCACUGUGUUAGUUUCAGAUCUGUUCUGUUUAACAUUAAUCAGGCUUUGUUGUAACAUUGCUUGAGAGAAAAGGGGAAUAUAUUCUUAAUCUCCAUUAUUAUGCAGAUUGUUUUAAGUGUAAAUAAUUUUUGAACCCUGAGUAAACCUUAUUCUUUUUUUGUUUUUGUUUUUCGCGUUCUGUCUGAAACCACUUAUUAGCCAGUGAUGAUUAUGUGAAUGAUUUAUGCAUUUUGAUUUGUUCGUUUUAGUUGUAAAUAUUCAUUUUUAAAUAAUAACUUCAUGCUUGGUUUUUAUUCUGUACUUCCAUAGCAGAAUGAGAAUUAUUUUUCAUUGCUUUAUGUAUUGUGUACAGAUUUGUAAUUGACAGAGUGUUGAAAAUCAUGGCAAUUUUUGUACCGUCUUUGAAGUAGAAGUGUAGCUAAGCUCACUGACCCUGUUUUAAUAAAGGAAUUACAGUUGUGAUUUU